RNAcentral lists this ribosomal RNA (422 nucleotides) under uncultured bacterium. RNAcentral's name for it is "bacterial SSU rRNA". It matches the Rfam family "Bacterial small subunit ribosomal RNA", at positions 355 to 774 of the family's 1533-position model. The record is from RNAcentral.
UGAGGAAUAUUGGGCAAUGCCCGCAAGGGUGACCCAGCAACGCCGCGUGGAGGAUGAAUGUCGUAAGAUUGUAAACUCCUGUUAGAGGGGAAGAAUAGUACCGGUUGGACCGGUAUAUGACUGUACCCUCAGAGAAAGCCCCGGCUAACUACGUGCCAGCAGCCGCGGUAAUACGUAGGGGGCAAGCGUUGUCCGGAUUUACUGGGUGUAAAGGGCGCGCAGGCGGGAUAAAAAGUCAGUGGUGAAAUCCUACAGCUUAACUGUAGAACUGCCUUUGAUACUUUUAUUCUUGAGUUCGGGAGAGAGAGACGGAAUUCCAGGUGUAGUGGUGAAAUACGUAGAUAUCUUGAAGAACACCAGUUGCGAAGGCGGUCUCUUGGUCCGACACUGACGCUGAGGCGCGAAAGCGUGGGGAGCGAACA